This 315-nucleotide ribosomal RNA is filed under the name uncultured eukaryote. Its description in RNAcentral is "partial 18S ribosomal RNA". It matches the Rfam family "Eukaryotic small subunit ribosomal RNA", at positions 1470 to 1796 of the family's 1831-position model. The record is from RNAcentral.
CCCUUAGAUGUUCUGGGCUGCACGCGCGCUACACUGACGUACGCAACAGGUGCCUGCUCCGAGAGGACUGGGUAAUCAUUUGAGUGUGCGUCGUGAUGGGGAUAGAAUAUUGUAAUUAUUACUCUUCAACGAGGAAUUCCUAGUAAGCGCAAGUCAGCAGCUUGCGCUGAUUACGUCCCUGCCCUUUGUACACACCGCCCGUCGCUCCUACCGAUGGGUGAUCCGGUGAAUGAUUCGGACUUCAGCGGCUCCUCUGGGGUGCGCCGGAGAAAGUUUUGUGAACCUUAUCACUUGGAGGAAGGAGAAGUCGUAACA